Long non-coding RNA from Lolium rigidum, 2463 nucleotides. RefSeq lists it as uncharacterized. Lineage: Eukaryota; Viridiplantae; Streptophyta; Magnoliopsida; Poales; Poaceae. The transcript is spliced from 7 exons. The record is from RefSeq and is a predicted model, not a curated record.
GGCAAACCCUAGUCGUGAGGCUCAGGGUUCGCCGGCGCGGCCGCGGCCGCGUCCCCUUCCCCGCAUCUUCGGCUGCUCCCCUCGUCAACGACCCCGCUCCGUCCUCCGAUUCCAUGGCUCCUCCAGCCCGACGCCUACGACCACGUCCAGGUUCUCCGCGUCGACCACGUCCUGCUCUGCCUCCGGAUCCCCUCCGUCGAGCACCUCCUGCUCCGUAGAUUGAUCCAGGGCCGGCAUCGGCAUCAUCGGCCGCUUCCUGCUCUGCCUCCGGAUCCCCUCCGUCGAGCACCUCCUGCUCCGUCGCCAGCGCCCCUCCGCCGCCAAGGCCCAACACUGACAGCGGCCGAUGCAUGCCCAGAAGUCCUAGGUUGGGAUCGGAGGUGGUCAACUGAAAUUGAACCGGCGUCCUGCUGGGGGCUACCACAACGCCUGCGAACUGGCAUCUAGCCCCUUGCGAUUUUGCGUCAGGUUGCAGUUUGGGUAAUUCCCAUGGAGAUACCAAUAGUCAAUUCCAAAACAUAGAUUGCCAUGUAUUUUAAUAUGGUUUAUAACCCAUGGAGCUGUGCUGAAUUAUCUCAUUACAAAGGCAUUACUAAGGGGAUCUUGGAAGUCAAGGAUUGAAAGGUUUCAUUACUGAUGAAACAAGUCAUCUGACAGACUUGGUAUGCUUAGAGCUAGAUGGUGUGCAAUGGUAGAAGAACCCUCCUGCUUAAGCGAAGCCACUGUCAUCGAAUAUUCAGUUUUGAGCUUCAUAGGUUGAGUCGGUACUACUCUGAUUGCUAAGAGAGUGUUAUAGGUCACUACAAUGGUUUCUUAUUUGAAUUCAGUAUGAUGUUUUCUUAUUAGAGGCCAGAACAAUGUUGAUUGACAGAUAGUGACAACAAAGCAGUCGCAAAUUUUUCCAAGUGUUCCAAGUGAAUCUUUUGGAACAUAAGCUCGUUGGUUUACAUAUGUAGAAAUUACUAAUAUGGCACCUCAUGUUCCCUUCACAUGCCUGGUGCGUCAUCUGUUUUUGAGGCCUCUGACACUAUCAUGGCUUACUAAUGUGGGCAUUUUCGUGAUGGUGCUUAACUACUCAUGUAUUGGUUUCCAAGUAAUUUUCAUGAUGGUGCUUAAAUACUCAUGCACCGAUGCACAUGCCUACUGUCUGUACUGUACACUAUCUUGAUCAUUCCAUCUACAGUAGCUUGAUCAUGCUAUUCUAUGAACUUUCUCUGAAUUUAUAUACAUAUUCACUAUGGAUACUGAGAUUCAGAGACCAUUUAGCACAUGACAGUAGAGAUGAUUUUUUUUCCAUCAACAUUUCCUGCUCCUUCAUUGAGUACCUCCAUUUUUUUGGCUUUUUGGUAAUAUCGAUUCAGAGAACAUGAUUUACUCAUGCUAGUAGUAUUCUGGAACUUGUCUACUAAAUAAAUUCAGAGAAAGGAAAGCAAAACAAUCUGGAACUUGUCUACUGAAUAAAUUCAGAUGAAAUUCAGAGAAACUACAGUAGAUAAAUUUGGAUUGUACCUUCAUUUUGAUCUUCUUCAUGUAUGAUGCCAUCAGGUGGACUGAACUGUAUAUAAACAUGAAGUUCAUGCAACAUUAUUUUUAUUAAGUGGCUUGUACUGGUAUACAAAGAGCAAUAAAGAUAGCAUGAGUGCGCAUUACAUUCUAUUGUACUGUCUUUAUGCCUUCAUUCCUAGCAUAUUUAUUUGACUCAAAAUGCAUUAGCUUCUUCUUGUUGCAUCUUGGUAUGUGAGUAUGUGACAUUGUGACUGUUUUCUUUUUUCUACAGUCAUAUCUCUAUCAGAUACUCCGCGGCGUUGCUUACUGUCAUUCUCAUAGAGUUCUUCAUCGAGAUUUGAAACCUCAGAAUUUAUUGGUAGAUCGGCGUACUAACGCACUGAAGCUUGCAGACUUUGGUUUAGCCAGGGCUUUUGGAAUCCCUGUUCGUACAUUUACUUAAGAGGCAUGUCUAUGGGAAGUAUUUUUCAGGUAGUAACAUUAUGGUACAGAGCUCCAGAAAUUCUUCUUGGAGCGAGGCAAUAUUCCACACCAGUUGAUGUGUAAACAGUGGGCUGUAUCUUUGCAGAAAUGGUGAAGCAGAAGCCACUGUUUCCAGGCGAUUCUGAGAUUGAUGAAUUAUUUAACAUAUUCAGGUCUGUACUUCUAAAAUGAUAUCGAGUGACCGAGGUUGAUUUCGAAGAUUAUGUCUCUAGGCCCAGAUAAAAUGAGCAUGUUAUGUGAUUGUCUGGAUAUGUUUGAUUGAAGAUUUUGUAAGUUAGAUUGUCUGGAUAUGUCAUUGUGUCUUGUAACGAUGAGAUCAUGUUGAGAUUUGCCUUUAGAGUGUACUGUUGGAUAUGUUGGUUGCAGACCAUGUUCAGAUUUGCCUUUAUAGUGUACUAUUGCAUAUGUUGGAUUUGCAGAACAUGUUCAGAUUUGCCUUUAUUUGUGCUGCUGGAAAAUGUUGCUUGCAGAACA